CGCAAGCCUGACGGAGCAAGACCGCGUGCGGGAUGACGGCCUAAUGGUUGUAAACCGCUUUUCUCUGGGAAGAUGAUGACGGUACCAGAGGAAUCAGCCUCGGCUAACUCCGUGCCAGCAGCCGCGGUAAUACGGAGGAGGCAAGCGUUAUCCGGAAUUAUUGGGCGUAAAGCGUCCGCAGGGGGCGCAUCAAGUCUGCUGUUAAAGGUCGGAGCUUAACUCCGGUGAGGCAGUGGAAACUGGUGCGCUAGAGGGCGACAGGGGUAGAGGGAAUUCCCAGUGUAGCGGUGAAAUGCGUAGAGAUUGGGAAGAACACCGGUGGCGAAAGCGCUCUACUGGGUCACACCUGACCCUCAGGGACGAAAGCUAAGGUAGCG
Molecule: ribosomal RNA, 377 nt
Filed under: uncultured cyanobacterium
Lineage: Bacteria; Bacillati; Cyanobacteriota
Description: bacterial SSU rRNA
Rfam family: Bacterial small subunit ribosomal RNA
Source: RNAcentral